RNAcentral lists this ribosomal RNA (340 nucleotides) under uncultured bacterium. RNAcentral describes it as "bacterial SSU rRNA". It matches the Rfam family "Bacterial small subunit ribosomal RNA", at positions 355 to 711 of the family's 1533-position model. The record is from RNAcentral.
UCGGGAAUUUUGGGCAAUGGGCGAAAGCCUGACCCAGCAACGCCGCGUGAAGGAUGAAGUAUUUCGGUAUGUAAACUUCGAAAGAAUAGGAAGAAUAAAUGACGGUACUAUUUAUAAGGUCCGGCUAACUACGUGCCAGCAGCCGCGGUAAUACGUAGGGACCAAGCGUUGUUCGGAUUUACUGGGCGUAAAGGGCGCGUAGGCGGCAAUUCAAGUCAUCUGUGAAAUCUCCGGGCUUAACUCGGAACGGUCAGAUGAUACUGCUUUGCUAGAGUGCAGAAGGGGUCAAUCGGAAUUCUUGGUGUAGCGGUGAAAUGCGUAGAUAUCAAGAGGAACACCU